GCGGUCGUGCCCGAGCGGUUAAGGGGAUCGACUAGAAAUCGAUUAGGCAAUGCCUGCGCAGGUUCGAGUCCUGUCGACCGCG
Transfer RNA from Micromonas sp., 82 nucleotides. It matches the Rfam family "tRNA". Rfam says of the family: Transfer RNA (tRNA) molecules are approximately 80 nucleotides in length. Their secondary structure includes four short double-helical elements and three loops (D, anti-codon, and T loops). Lineage: Eukaryota; Viridiplantae; Chlorophyta; Mamiellophyceae; Mamiellales; Mamiellaceae. The record is from Rfam.